This is a non-coding RNA of Paramuricea clavata, 485 nucleotides long. The record is from the annotation of a GenBank genome assembly. Lineage: Eukaryota; Metazoa; Cnidaria; Anthozoa; Malacalcyonacea; Plexauridae.
GUUCGGAGAGUUCUUCCCGCUUCAAUUUGCUUGUGAGGUUGUUCAGUCGUCGUAAGCUACCUUUCUCGUUAUUUGGAAGGUUAGGAUGGUUGCCUUUCCAUGGUAGACCAGUCUCGUACCAACCUUGCUCAUUCCUCACGAGUUGCUCUCUAAACUCUGCGUACACACUUGCUUGGUCAUGUUCUGGACGAUCUUCCAGGCCCAGCACGUCGAGACGACAAAGUUGUUCAUAAUCGGUUUGGUUGGAUUGGGCGAUUAGUAACGCGGUAUAGUCUAUCUCUGUUCCUUUCGUGAUGAUUGUCCAUCCAAACUUCGUUUUUUCUGCGACACGUUCCCCGGUUUUGCCUACACGAGAUGGCUGGUCAGUUUUUAUGCACAGAUAGUCGCUUGCUCCGAGAAUGAGAUGGAUUGGAAGCUUGGGCUUUUGGUCCUUGUCAUCCAUGGUCACGCCUUCGAGAUGUGGAUACUUGGCGAUUAGUUGUUGG